This 467-nucleotide ribosomal RNA is filed under the name uncultured bacterium. RNAcentral's name for it is "partial 16S ribosomal RNA". It matches the Rfam family "Bacterial small subunit ribosomal RNA", at positions 28 to 506 of the family's 1533-position model. The record is from RNAcentral.
GACGAACGCUGGCGGCGUGCUUAACACAUGCAAGUCGAACGGAAAGGCCCUGCUUUUGUGGGGUGCUCGAGUGGCGAACGGGUGAGUAACACGUGAGUAACCUGCCCUUGACUUUGGGAUAACUUCAGGAAACUGGGGCUAAUACCGGAUAGGAGCUCCUGCUGCAUGGUGGGGGUUGGAAAGUUUCGGCGGUUGGGGAUGGACUCGCGGCUUAUCAGCUUGUUGGUGGGGUAGUGGCUUACCAAGGCUGUGACGGGUAGCCGGCCUGAGAGGGUGACCGGCCACAUUGGGCCUGAGGUACGGCCCAGACUCCUACGGGAGGCAGCAGUGGGGAAUAUUGCACACUGGGCGGAAGCCUGAUGCAGCAACGCCGCGUGCGGGAUGACGGCCUUCGGGUUGUAAACCGCUUUCGCCUGUGACGACGCGUGAGUGACGGUAAUGGGUAAAGAAGCACCGGCUAACUACGU